RNAcentral lists this transfer RNA (68 nucleotides) under Opimothrips tubulatus. RNAcentral describes it as "tRNA-Thr". The record is from RNAcentral. Lineage: Eukaryota; Metazoa; Arthropoda; Insecta; Thysanoptera; Thripidae.
GUCUUUAUAAUCCAUACCUUAAGAUUUUAAUUUUGUAAAUUAAACAAACACAAAAUGUGUUAAAGACU